RNAcentral lists this ribosomal RNA (867 nucleotides) under uncultured bacterium. RNAcentral describes it as "bacterial SSU rRNA". It matches the Rfam family "Bacterial small subunit ribosomal RNA", at positions 8 to 898 of the family's 1533-position model. The record is from RNAcentral.
AGAGUUUGAUCAUGGCUCAGGAUGAACGCUGGCGGCGUGCUUAACACAUGCAAGUCGAACGAAGCACACUUUCGGGUGUGCUUAGUGGCGGACGGGUGAGUAACGCGUGGGUAACCUGCCUUAUACAGGGGGAUAACAGCUGGAAACGGCUGCUAAUACCGCAUAAGCGCACAGUAUCGCAUGAUACAGUGUGAAAAUAUUUAUAGGUAUAAGAUGGACCCGCGUCUGAUUAGCUAGUUGGUGAGGUAAUGGCUCACCAAGGCGACGAUCAGUAGCCGGCUUGAGAGAGUGAACGGCCACAUUGGGACUGAGACACGGCCCAAACUCCUACGGGAGGCAGCAGUGGGGAAUAUUGCACAAUGGGGGAAACCCUGAUGCAGCGACGCCGCGUGAGUGAAGAAGUAUUUCGGUAUGUAAAGCUCUAUCAGCAGGGACGAUAAUGACGGUACCUGACUAAGAAGCCCCGGCUAACUACGUGCCAGCAGCCGCGGUAAUACGUAGGGGGCAAGCGUUAUCCGGAUUUACUGGGUGUAAAGGGAGCGUAGGUGGUUCGAUAAGUCAGAUGUGAAAGCCCGGGGCUCAACCCCGGGACUGCAUUUGAAACUAUCGAACUAGAGUGCAGGAGAGGUAGGUGGAAUUCCUAGUGUAGCGGUGAAAUGCGUAGAUAUUAGGAGGAACACCAGUGGCGAAGGCGGCUUACUGGACUGUAACUGACACUGAGGCUCGAAAGCGUGGGGAGCAAACAGGAUUAGAUACCUUGGUAGUCCACGCCGUAAACGAUGAAUACUANGUGUCGGGGCCAUCCGCUUCGGUGCCGCAGCAAACGCAAUAAGUAUUCCACCUGGGGAGUACGUUCGCAAGAAUGAA